GCUGGUAUAGCUCAGUGGUGGAGCAUGUGCUUAGCAUGCACAAGGUCCUGGGUUCGAUCCCUGGACCUCCU
This 71-nucleotide transfer RNA is filed under the name Camelus bactrianus (Bactrian camel). It matches the Rfam family "tRNA". Rfam says of the family: Transfer RNA (tRNA) molecules are approximately 80 nucleotides in length. Their secondary structure includes four short double-helical elements and three loops (D, anti-codon, and T loops). The record is from Rfam by way of RNAcentral. RNAcentral also lists the same sequence under 1 other name. Lineage: Eukaryota; Metazoa; Chordata; Mammalia; Artiodactyla; Camelidae.